Molecule: long non-coding RNA, 1057 nt
Filed under: Physcomitrium patens
Lineage: Eukaryota; Viridiplantae; Streptophyta; Bryopsida; Funariales; Funariaceae
Description: long non-coding RNA (PPAT_LNC001733)
Source: RNAcentral
CCCGAGAUAGCUGAAAAACCUUAAGUUGACGGUUUGAGGUAUUCCGACGUUAGAUACAGCAGGAGGCGACCGUCUUGACCACAUUCGUAAUUUGAAGCGGCCGUGAUUCUCAAGACCAACCGUCGAAAUCAAUCGUUUGGCGACGACAGCCACACGAUCCCAGCACUUAAUCUCGAGAGCCCGUUUAAUCGAACACAUCACAUAGCAACCUGUUAAGAAAUAUUCUUGUCAGUCCAAGUUAUAAACCUAAACGUGGAUUAGACAUGUCAAAAGAUGUUGAAGAGGGAAAUCUGAAUCGAUCUUCUCGCUACAGCAAAAUCAGAUCAUUGUGAAUACAAUAUGAACCAAGCAAUCCGAGAGAGAGCAUAAGCUGAGAAUUCACAAACCUCGUGGGUUCAACGCGGCGUAUCCCCGAGACCCUGCGCUUUUCCAGAGAAAGGUCCAAAGUGGGGCAGCGUUAUGAAGAAACAAAAAAAAUAAAUCCCGUAAAAAGCUGCAUGCUCUCUCUGUUUCGAUCAAUCAGACCAUAUAACUAGGUUCAGACAAUCUGCUCACUGCAAGAUCACUACAUUCAUUACGAACUAGUUUCACUGCCACAUUCAAUCACUGACUUAUUCCUCUACACAAGGAUGUUCACUACGACUGUAUCUGACUGGAAAUCAUUUAGUCUACUAAACCUAAACCUUAAGCCCUAAACUAAGUAAAUACUUUCUGUCAAUAGAAACGUCUGCAUCGUGUAUGACUACAAUGACUUUCAGACCUGCUGCAAUCGACAAAACACAAUGCUUGUGCACUGGUAUGUCACAAACCACAAAGAAUUCACCACUUCAACAAUCUCGCCAGAACCUGAAAUAGCUAGAGUGCAGCUAUGUGCCUGCUUCGCUGUUUUGCGUGUCUCGUACCGCGAAUAGAGUUGCUAUGGGUUAGAUAACCUGAGAAAUUCACACAACCACUAUCGCUAGAACAUCUCAACUAAACAGAGAGAUUCAAUUUAAAACCACGUUAAACAAACAAAUCGCUCGAAGCUCUGAAAUUCCGUAAAUUGUGGUCUUAUUUG